AUUGAACGCUGGCGGCAUGCUUUACACAUGCAAGUCGAACGGUAACAGGCCUUCGGGUGCUGACGAGUGGCGAACGGGUGAGUAAUGCAUCGGAACGUACCCAGAGGUGGGGGAUAACGCAGCGAAAGCUGUGCUAAUACCGCAUGUGAUCUGAGGAUGAAAGCGGGGGACCGAGCAGCAAUGUUUGGCCUCGCGCCUUUGGAGCGGCCGAUGUCGGAUUAGCUAGUUGGUGGGGUAAAGGCCUACCAAGGCGACGAUCCGUAGCUGGUCUGAGAGGACGACCAGCCACACUGGGACUGAGACACGGCCCAGACUCCUACGGGAGGCAGCAAUGGGGAAUUUUGGACAGUGGGCGCAAGCCUGAUCCAGCAAUGCCGCGUGCGGGAAGAAGGCCUUCGGGUUGUAAGCCGCUUUUGGCAGGAACAAACGGUGUCCGCUAAUACCGGGCGCUAAUGACGGUACCUGCAGAAUAAGCACCGGCUAACUACGUG
Molecule: ribosomal RNA, 491 nt
Filed under: uncultured bacterium
Lineage: Bacteria
Description: partial 16S ribosomal RNA
Rfam family: Bacterial small subunit ribosomal RNA
Source: RNAcentral